CCUACGGGGGACAGCAGUGGGGAAUAUUGGGCAAUGGGCGCAAGCCUGACCCAGCAAUGCCGCGUGAAGGAAGAAGGCUUUCGGGUUGUAAACUUCUUUGACAGGGGAAGAGCAGAAGACGGUACCCUGAAAACAAGCCACGGCUAACUACGUGCCAGCAGCCGCGGUAAUACGGAGGUGGCAAGCGUUGUCCGGAUUUACUGGGUGUAAAGGGUGUGUAGCCGGGAAGGCAAGUCAGAUGUGAAAUCUGGGGGCUCAACCUCGAAAUUGCAUUUGAAACUGUUUGUCUUGAGUACAGUAGAGGCAGACGGAAUUCGUGGUGUAGCGGUGAAAUGCGUAGAUAUAAGGAGGAACACCAGUGGCGAAGGCGGUCUGCUGGACAGCAACUGGCGGUGAGGCGCGAAAGCGUGGGGAGCAAACAGGAUUAGAUACCCUAGUAGUC
RNAcentral lists this ribosomal RNA (442 nucleotides) under uncultured bacterium. RNAcentral describes it as "partial 16S ribosomal RNA". It matches the Rfam family "Bacterial small subunit ribosomal RNA", at positions 338 to 795 of the family's 1533-position model. The record is from RNAcentral.